This 206-nucleotide ribosomal RNA is filed under the name uncultured bacterium. Its description in RNAcentral is "partial 16S ribosomal RNA". It matches the Rfam family "Bacterial small subunit ribosomal RNA", at positions 1295 to 1500 of the family's 1533-position model. The record is from RNAcentral.
GGACUGCAGGCUGCAACCCGCCUGCACGAAGUUGGAAUUGCUAGUAAUCGUGGAUCAGCAUGCCACGGUGAAUACGUUCCCGGGUCUUGUACACACCGCCCGUCACACCAUGGGAGUCGGUAACACCCGAAGUCAGUAGUCUAACCGCAAGGAGGACGCUGCCGAAGGUGGGAUUGACGACUGGGGUGAAGUCGUAACAAGGUACC